This 105-nucleotide microRNA precursor is filed under the name Pelobates cultripes (western spadefoot toad). The record is from RNAcentral. Lineage: Eukaryota; Metazoa; Chordata; Amphibia; Anura; Pelobatidae.
AGGAACAAAAAAGUGGAGACAAUGUUUCGGCUCCUCUCUGAGCCUUUGUUAAGUCUGAGAGGAGCCGAUACAUUGUCUUCACUUUUUUGUUCCUAAUAAAAGACU